Molecule: transfer RNA, 64 nt
Filed under: Auriculastra duplicata
Lineage: Eukaryota; Metazoa; Mollusca; Gastropoda; Ellobiida; Ellobiidae
Description: tRNA-Met
Source: RNAcentral
UCUAGGGUAAGCUAAGUUAAGCUAUUGGGCUCAUAACCCAAAAAUGACAUUUGUUCUCCUAGAA